AGUCGAACGGAAAGGCCCUGCUUGCAGGGUACUCGAGUGGCGAACGGGUGAGUAACACGUGGGUGAUCUGCCCUGCACUUCGGGAUAAGCUUGGGAAACUGGGUCUAAUACCGGAUAGGACCGCACUUUAGUUGUGUGUGGUGGAAAGUUUUUUCGGUGUAGGAUGAGCUCGCGGCCUAUCAGCUUGUUGGUGGGGUAAUGGCCUACCAAGGCGGCGACGGGUAGCCGGCCUGAGAGGGUGUACGGCCACAUUGGGACUGAGAUACGGCCCAGACUCCUACGGGAGGCAGCAGUGGGGAAUAUUGCACAAUGGGCGCAAGCCUGAUGCAGCGACGCCGCGUGGGGGAUGACGGCCUUCGUGUUGUAAACUCCUUUCGCCAGGGACGAAGCGUUUUGUGACGGUACCUGGAGAAGAAGCACCGGCUAACUACGUGCCAGCAGCCGCGGUAAUACGUAGGGUGCAAGCGUUGUCCGGAAUUACUGGGCGUAAAGAGCUCGUAGGUGGUUUGUCACGUCGUCUGUGAAAUUCCACAGCUUAACUGUGGGCGUGCAGGCGAUACGGGCUGACUUGAGUACUGUAGGGGUAACUGGAAUUCCUGGUGUAGCGGUGAAAUGCGC
Molecule: ribosomal RNA, 618 nt
Filed under: uncultured Actinomycetales bacterium
Lineage: Bacteria; Bacillati; Actinomycetota; Actinomycetes; Actinomycetales
Description: bacterial SSU rRNA
Rfam family: Bacterial small subunit ribosomal RNA
Source: RNAcentral